RNAcentral lists this ribosomal RNA (1337 nucleotides) under Staphylococcus epidermidis. RNAcentral describes it as "bacterial SSU rRNA". It matches the Rfam family "Bacterial small subunit ribosomal RNA", at positions 51 to 1371 of the family's 1533-position model. Lineage: Bacteria; Bacillati; Bacillota; Bacilli; Caryophanales; Staphylococcaceae. The record is from RNAcentral.
AUAAUGCAAGUCGAGCGACAGACGAGGAGCUUGCUCCUCUGACGUUAGCGGCGGACGGGUGAGUAACACGUGGAUAACCUACCUAUAAGACUGGGAUAACUUCGGGAAACCGGAGCUAAUACCGGAUAAUAUAUUGAACCGCAUGGUUCAAUAGUGAAAGACGGUUUUGCUGUCACUUAUAGAUGGAUCCGCGCCGCAUUAGCUAGUUGGUAAGGUAACGGCUUACCAAGGCAACGAUGCGUAGCCGACCUGAGAGGGUGAUCGGCCACACUGGAACUGAGACACGGUCCAGACUCCUACGGGAGGCAGCAGUAGGGAAUCUUCCGCAAUGGGCGAAAGCCUGACGGAGCAACGCCGCGUGAGUGAUGAAGGUCUUCGGAUCGUAAAACUCUGUUAUUAGGGAAGAACAAAUGUGUAAGUAACUAUGCACGUCUUGACGGUACCUAAUCAGAAAGCCACGGCUAACUACGUGCCAGCAGCCGCGGUAAUACGUAGGUGGCAAGCGUUAUCCGGAAUUAUUGGGCGUAAAGCGCGCGUAGGCGGUUUUUUAAGUCUGAUGUGAAAGCCCACGGCUCAACCGUGGAGGGUCAUUGGAAACUGGAAAACUUGAGUGCAGAAGAGGAAAGUGGAAUUCCAUGUGUAGCGGUGAAAUGCGCAGAGAUAUGGAGGAACACCAGUGGCGAAGGCGACUUUCUGGUCUGUAACUGACGCUGAUGUGCGAAAGCGUGGGGAUCAAACAGGAUUAGAUACCCUGGUAGUCCACGCCGUAAACGAUGAGUGCUAAGUGUUAGGGGGUUUCCGCCCCUUAGUGCUGCAGCUAACGCAUUAAGCACUCCGCCUGGGGAGUACGACCGCAAGGUUGAAACUCAAAGGAAUUGACGGGGACCCGCACAAGCGGUGGAGCAUGUGGUUUAAUUCGAAGCAACGCGAAGAACCUUACCAAAUCUUGACAUCCUCUGACCCCUCUAGAGAUAGAGUUUUCCCCUUCGGGGGACAGAGUGACAGGUGGUGCAUGGUUGUCGUCAGCUCGUGUCGUGAGAUGUUGGGUUAAGUCCCGCAACGAGCGCAACCCUUAAGCUUAGUUGCCAUCAUUAAGUUGGGCACUCUAAGUUGACUGCCGGUGACAAACCGGAGGAAGGUGGGGAUGACGUCAAAUCAUCAUGCCCCUUAUGAUUUGGGCUACACACGUGCUACAAUGGACAAUACAAAGGGUAGCGAAACCGCGAGGUCAAGCAAAUCCCAUAAAGUUGUUCUCAGUUCGGAUUGUAGUCUGCAACUCGACUAUAUGAAGCUGGAAUCGCUAGUAAUCGUAGAUCAGCAUGCUACGGUGAAUACGU